Long non-coding RNA from Hippopotamus amphibius kiboko, 2284 nucleotides. RefSeq lists it as uncharacterized. The transcript is spliced from 5 exons. The record is from RefSeq and is a predicted model, not a curated record. Lineage: Eukaryota; Metazoa; Chordata; Mammalia; Artiodactyla; Hippopotamidae.
CUUCAUCUGGGACAUAUUCCUCUGUGGUAUCAUUCUGUCUGACUUCCUGUGAUUGUGGUUUCCAUUCCACAGGCUUCAAGGUUGUAGUUCUUCAUGCUUCUGGUGUCUACCCUCUGGUGGAUGAGGCUGAGACUUCCUGGUGGGAGGUACUGGUGCCUGCCCACUGGUGGGUGGAGCUGGGCCUUUUCCAUCUGGUUGGCAGGGCUGUGUCAGGGGGUAUGCUUAUUUGGCAGUUGUUUAUUCAAGAAGACUUUAAGCAACCUGUCUGCUGAUGGGUGGGGCUCUGUUCCUGCCCUGUUGGUUAUUUGGCCUAAGGCAUCUCAGCACUGAGGCCUACAGGUUUUUGGGUGGGGCCAGGUCUUGGUGAGAAAAUGGCAACCUCCAAGAGGACUCACACCAAUGAACAGUCACCAGAACUGCUGCCGCCAUUGUCCUUGUCUCCACAGUGAGCCACAGACACCCUCCUGCCUCUGCAGGAGACCCUUUGAUACCAGCAGCACAUCUUUUAAGAUGAGGACCUUGAAGUGGAGAAACUUACGGCUUCCUUUCCUGCUUCUGAUGCAAUGUGAAUAGAAAUUAUGUUAGCAGGACUCAUUGGCUGAAGGGACUAGAAAUACAAGAGAAGGAAAACAGGUAAGAAAAGAACUGCAAUUUGAAACUAGAUCAAUGCUUAAAGCUGUGGAAAGGAGUGUACAAUCAUUGGUAUGUAAUAGAUAAAAACGAACAACACUUUUGAGUGACUGGCAGUGGAGGGAAGCAGGGCAUAGGUUUGGGAGAAACGUGGGAUAUUGGUAAAAUUCUACUUCUGAAGUGCAGUGGCAGGUUCAUAGUUAUUUCACCUUUUAUUCACGCUUUAUGACUUUUGAAUCUCCCACAGAGUCUUCUGUAUGUGUUACACACACUUGCCUAAAAAAUUAGUAACUGGAAAUUUCACCCAAAUAGGUAAAUUAAUCUAACUGCUAUGCUAACUGGUAACUUUUGGAAAAAUCACACUCUCCCCCUAAAAUGGAAAUGGUACAGGACACAGGCAUGGUGCUCAGCUAGACCUGGUUGUGAUUCUGGCUUCCCCACUUCGCUGUCUCCCUGCAUGUUUCAUCCUGCGCAAGUGGAUGACCUACCCUCUGCAAUUCACCUAUGGUGCUCAGGAGGCAGUUCAAUAAUGAGCUGACAGGACUGAGCAUGAUCAAAGUUGUUCGGAGUCUUUGGUGAGCCCUGGGUGUCCAACAUAAACACCUGCAGGGGUAUACAGAGGUACGGUUCAGCGCCACCGUCCUCGACCUGCCUCCACCUGGGAUCAGCUGGAUGGCCCUCGGCAAGCGGCUUACUCUUUCUACUCAUUUUCUCACCUUUAAAAUGAGGACUACCAAGAAAAAUAUACAGAAUAUGUUCUCUGCUCCUAACUCAUCAGCUUACAACCAACUUUUGUGACUUCUGCCAUGUGUCAGAGGAAAAAGUCAUUGGUACAUGGUGGUUCCUGCAUGGAUAAGUACAUUUUAAUUUUACUGAUUCGUUAACAUUCAACUCAAAUUUACUAUGCACCUUGUAAAUGUUAAGCUCUUUGCUCCACAUGGGAGAUAUAGGGAAAAAAAUCAAGUAAGUUUACUAUCUUUAGGCACUCAUAGUCUAGCAUUAACAACAGUAUUUCAGUAACUAUUUACAAUAUAAGUAGUGCAAGCAAAUCACAUUAUGUAUGGAGUGCAGUGCUGGUGGAAAAGGACCCUGUUUGAUCAGGGCUCGGGAGGAUACAACAUGCUAGAGAUGGUGAGAGGACCAUAACGCUGGUGAGUGGGUUCAAGUUAUUUUUGGAAAAGAACAGCACUGGCCAGAGGUCAGAGCCAGGAGGUAUACGUCCCUACGGGAAUGAAAGGCAGUUCGGUGAUGCGUGGCCUUCAGGAAGGAUUCCCAGCAAUAUCUCAAGCUCCCAGAGCCCCGAGGAUCAAAAGCCCCGGCCCUUACCUGCUGAGCCAUGGCUCGGAUGCGCCAGUACUCGGCCUCGGCGCUGGGGGAGGAGGACGGGGCGGCCACCCUCACCUGGCAGCCGUCCCCUCUGAAGCUCUCGGUGCCGCUGUGGAAGCAGCCCAGCAGAUCCUAGGGAGAAACACAGCAGUCAUUCGCUGGUGCAGCUGCGUUCAUGGCUCCAGGCCCUGUCCGGGAUCUGACAUCGUCACUGUGUCUGGGACAAAGUACUCGUCCAGCUACCCUGUUCUCAAGUGAGACCGACUGCUAGGAGGAGGGAGGCGGAGUCCAGGCGGCCCAGCCUGAGCCUCGCCAGGGAGCUGAGGAA